RNAcentral lists this unclassified non-coding RNA (222 nucleotides) under uncultured Tomentella. RNAcentral describes it as "sequence contains ITS2". Lineage: Eukaryota; Fungi; Basidiomycota; Agaricomycetes; Thelephorales; Thelephoraceae. The record is from RNAcentral.
ACACCUCAACUCUCAUGGUUUUGCCAUGAUGAGCUUGGACUUUGGGGGUCUUGCUGGCCUAUGGUCAGCUCCUCUUAAAUGAAUCAGCUUGCCAGUGUUUGGUGGCAUCGCAGGUGUGAUAAUUAUCUACGCUUGUAGUAUUCCGUCAAGUAACCUUCAGCGAUGGAGGUUCACUGGGGCUCAUAAAGGCCUCUCCUCUGUGAGGAAUGGCUCGUUUUGAAU